Molecule: small RNA, 67 nt
Filed under: Oryza sativa Japonica Group (Japanese rice)
Lineage: Eukaryota; Viridiplantae; Streptophyta; Magnoliopsida; Poales; Poaceae
Description: sRNA Os09g0321150
Source: RNAcentral
GACUGUAGUUUGAUGCGGAUUAAUCCUUAGGUCGCUGGUUCGAAUCCGGCAGGUCGGAAGUUUAUUU